This 465-nucleotide ribosomal RNA is filed under the name Vreelandella stevensii. RNAcentral describes it as "partial 16S ribosomal RNA". It matches the Rfam family "Bacterial small subunit ribosomal RNA", at positions 338 to 795 of the family's 1533-position model. Lineage: Bacteria; Pseudomonadati; Pseudomonadota; Gammaproteobacteria; Oceanospirillales; Halomonadaceae. The record is from RNAcentral.
CCUACGGGUGGCAGCAGUGGGGAAUAUUGGACAAUGGGCGAAAGCCUGAUCCAGCCAUGCCGCGUGUGUGAAGAAGGCCUUCGGGUUGUAAAGCACUUUCAGUGGGGAAGAAAGCCUUGGGGCUAAUACCCUCGAGGAAGGACAUCACCCACAGAAGAAGCACCGGCUAACUCCGUGCCAGCAGCCGCGGUAAUAUGGAGGGUGCGAGCGUUAAUCGGAAUUACUGGGCGUAAAGCGCGCGUAGGCGGUCUGAUAAGCCGGUUGUGAAAGCCCCGGGCUCAACCUGGGAACGGCAUCCGGAACUGUCAGGCUAGAGUGCAGGAGAGGAAGGUAGAAUUCCCGGUGUAGCGGUGAAAUGCGUAGAGAUCGGGAGGAAUACCAGUGGCGAAGGCGGCCUUCUGGACUGACACUGACGCUGAGGUGCGAAAGCGUGGGUAGCAAACAGGAUUAGAUACCCGAGUAGUC